Molecule: transfer RNA, 61 nt
Filed under: Ictidomys tridecemlineatus (thirteen-lined ground squirrel)
Lineage: Eukaryota; Metazoa; Chordata; Mammalia; Rodentia; Sciuridae
Description: Spermophilus tridecemlineatus (thirteen-lined ground squirrel) tRNA
Rfam family: tRNA
About the family: Transfer RNA (tRNA) molecules are approximately 80 nucleotides in length. Their secondary structure includes four short double-helical elements and three loops (D, anti-codon, and T loops).
Source: Rfam by way of RNAcentral
GGGGAGGUAGCUCAGUGGUAGAGCACUUGCCUAGCAUGCACAAGGUCUAGAGUCUUCCCCA